UACAGAGGGUGCGAGCGUUGUUCGGAAUUACUGGGCGUAAAGGGCGCGUAGGCGGCCUUCUAAGUCGAACGUGAAAUCCCCGGGCUCAACCCGGGAACUGCGUCCGAUACUGGAAGGCUUGAAUCCGGGAGAGGGAUGUGGAAUUCCAGGUGUAGCGGUGAAAUGCGUAGAUAUCUGGAGGAACACCGGUGGCGAAGGCGACAUCCUGGACCGGUAUUGACGCUGAGGCGUGAAAGCCAGGGGAGCAAGCGGG
Molecule: ribosomal RNA, 253 nt
Filed under: uncultured bacterium
Lineage: Bacteria
Description: partial 16S ribosomal RNA
Rfam family: Bacterial small subunit ribosomal RNA
Source: RNAcentral